This is a long non-coding RNA of Aegilops tauschii subsp. strangulata, 5067 nucleotides long. RefSeq lists it as uncharacterized. The record is from RefSeq and is a predicted model, not a curated record. Lineage: Eukaryota; Viridiplantae; Streptophyta; Magnoliopsida; Poales; Poaceae.
GUGAAAGGGAUGGGUGAUGGCUACUGCCAUUACUACCACAUCCGCCACCUAUUUCUUCUUGCUUUGCUUGCACGCCUGCAACACCAAUUCCUUUAGAUUCCACAUUCGUCUUUCAACCCCUACGACGUUCCGCUACUCCAAGAUCAAGAGGAUGGUGAAGAUUCAUGCUCCUUAAAAGCAGACAGGAAGAAGGUUCUGGCUCAUCAAGGGAGCUGCUUGCAGAAGCGAGGUUGUGGUGUUCUUGGAUGCGAUGGUGCCGUGGAGGAUGGAGGCGCGGCUGGCGGCGACGGUGCGGGCGGCCCUCCUCGGCUGGCUCUUCUUCUGCCUCACCGUCGCCAGCGACGUCGCACGCCAACUCAGGAGCAGCGAUCUCUCCGUCUAAGGCCGACCGCGUUCGGCAUGGCCGACGGCGAAGAACCGACUCUGCGUCUACAGAUUGAUUUACAGGAGGGUAACCAGAUGCGAUUUUCCAAAGUAGUGCUCGUCUUUAGAAGACGGCUGUCCUUAAGAGUUAAGACUCAUUGAGCAGAUGCUCCCUGUAAAUUUUCAACUAAAGCGUGUUGUUCCUUUGCUCAUUUUGGGGGGUCAGCAUGGUUACUUCCAAACUAGCAUCACUGACUACGACCUGAAAUAACUUUUUUUUUUUGGCGAAAUUACCACCUGAAAUACUUGAUAAAUCAUUACACCUUAACGGUUUUGUCAUUAGUUAACUAAACCCAUUAGGGGUCUAGCUCCACUUUUAAUCUGAAGUGUUGGUCCCAUGAUGAGAUGGCCUAGCAAAUAAUUAUUGUCGUCGGUCACCUCACAUGCUGUCAGGAGUCAGGAGCCGAAUUAUUUUAAUGUUUUUUUAUAAUGUCUGAGGAUAAUAGACUCACAAUAUCAGAUAUCUAGUUUGUGUCGAUUUGACUUUGGCAUACCGGAUUGAAGAGAACAAAUUUGAAAUUUUUUCCAUUACUCUUGUUCAAACAUAUGUUUUUAGUAUAAAAAAUGUAUGAUGUCAAUGCUUCGGCAUAACAAAUUUAGGCGUUGUUCGGUAUCCCUCCGCUCCACAACUCCGGGAGCAGAGUUGGCAGAGCUGCAGUUCAAAAUGGUGGAGUUGCAGUUCCCCCGCUCCGCGAAUUCCGGGAGUGGGUGAUAACCGAACAGGGCCUUAGUUCUCAGUAUAUUGACUUGUUAAUCAAGAAACUAUUUGAAAAAGAUUCACAAAAUCCUUAUUAAAAUGAAUACAUUAUAUAUGCGUUCUUACAAACUGUUAUGCAUGACUUUGACAACAUUAUAAAGUUGUAAAUAUAAAAUCUUAUAUUUGUUCACUUAUUUCCGUGGAAGAAUUGUUGUCAUCUAUGAUCGGUCUUCUAAAUAUGAACGAUACACAUCCUUCAGAUAACGGCCAUAUUGGUCGAUAUUUCGGUCUAUAUCGUAUGGUAUGUAUGAAAAUAAUACAAAAUGAUAUGCUAUAUCUAUAUCGUUAGGCCCCCACAACUGAUAUAUCUGUCGUAUUUCAUGAGAUUUAGAAGCUUGGAGGAUAGUCGGUUUCAAAUAAGGAUACAUAGUUCGACGCCUAAAGGUCAGCAGGUGAUGCACCAUAAGUUCUACUGCACUAGAUAUUUAGUCCCUUUCGGUUCUAGAAACAUUUAAUAACAAACAUUUCUUUUGCAGAAUAAAAGUGAACCAUAGCCAAAGAUAAUAAUUGACUCGAGCAUCAAUGCAAUAAUCCAAUGAAGUCCACAUCUUGAGAUAGACCUCACCAAGAAGAUUUUUGAUUAUUUAUUUCUUGUAUGUCCUCUCCACUUCGAGAUAAACAUAGAUAAGAUAUUAAAAAAAUCUAAACUCAAUAAAUGUCAUGCUAAAUCCAGAGGCAAAUUUUUUUUUGGAACGCUCGUAUGCCUCAUGUUCCAUCUAGAUAGAUAAAUAAAUACAAAAACCACCCACAUGCUUAUUUUCCUUGUGUCUAGUUUGAUUAAGGAUGUAGUGUGUAUCUCUUUCAUUUGAUCAAUAUAAUCUCGUUUGACCCGCAAAGAAAAAGUAACAACCCGGCAUUUUGGCUCUCGGGUGCAUCUGCACCCGAGGUGAACAGUAAAUUCAUUUAAAAUAAUUAAAAAUCAAUAAAAAAUGAAAAAAAAAAUGUGAUGCUAGAUGCUCAUGUGCGUGAAGUCCGUGCUAAAUUUCGUGUAGUUUGGUCAUUUCAGUAGCUCUCAUCCAAAAAAAUAAAUUUUAGGGCUGUAAGAAAGUUUAUUGUUUACGUACUGUUUUGACGGAUUUUAUCUUUUUUGCCAUGAGCUCCUCAGAUUUCCGAACAAGCUGAAAUUUGGCGUGAACAUCACGCAUUGGAACAUCUUCCACUCAAAAAAUAUAUUUUUUUUGAAUUUACUGUUCACCUGGUGCAGAUGAGCCAGGGCAUCGAAUUGAAUAUCAGAUGAGCAUGGGCACCGAACUGAAUAUCCGGUAUAGUAAUGUUACUUUUGCUACCAAUGGUUAAAUAGCUGGCGAGUUUUGUGGGAUAAUUGGGCACGCCGCUUAGAUCAGUUCUAGCAGAGUCGUCAUAUGUGUAGUCACUAAAAUGCAUAUGAAAUGUGGUGCAUUGAAUUUUGGAGGCUAUCAAGGCGACUUGCAAAUUCAGAGCCACUGUAUUGUCUUCAAAAUAUUUUUAUUGUUAGUAGUUUUCAUUCCAUACUUGAAUUAAAUGUUACAUAACAAUUCAAAAGCAACCAUGUUUUUUAAACAAGUUGCAUGAACAAAAGAUAAAACAUCAUGCAUAUUCAACCGAAUGUACAAAUCACGUGUCAUUGGCUCCUCCUCUAGUGUUUGCACCAUCCCCUCCUCCGUCAUGUGCACCUUCUCCUCCUCGGGUGUGUUGGGCGCUCCGUGCCAUCCUAGAAUGCAUGAUCGUCGCUUGAGUGAACUUGCAAAAUAAUAUUGACACUGGAUCCAUGAUAUUGCGGUCCAACAUCACCAACCGGUUCUCCUCGGUUAUCUUGUCGUGCAUCAACCAGCCAUCCUCAAGUUUAAGCCUAUGCACCUCCAUCUCUUCCUUGCAUCAUGUACUUGCUUGCAUAGCAUCCCACCUCAUCCUCUUCUCUUGCAGCUUCCUCUCCUCCAUAUUCAACUUUUCUUGCUUUCUCUUGUCUGCGUACUCAUGCCUUGACUUCAUCAACUCGGCGAUCUUGUUUUUCAUUACCUCCGCCGCUUGUUGUAUCUUGAGCAUCUCCUUCAAUUGCUUCCUUCCGUCAGGUCGACCCACGCUAGACGCCAAACUGGGUCUUUAGCCACCCUUUCCUCUCCAUCACCAGACGUGAGAGAUUUGAGGGUAUGGUUUGAUUUAUGCCCAAGGUGUUUCCUUGAGGUGCCUCCGAUAGUUUGCACUCAUUUGAUCUUUGUUGACGACCACAUCAAGAGUGAUGUCUUGCCAUGCCCUCACAGGAGCAACAUCCUCUUUCGUGGUGUAGUUUGUGGUCUGAAUUGCUUUCUUCCUUGACGAACCAGAGGGUUGAAAUUGAUCCAGUUCAACCUAUUUGCCCUCCACAUGCAAUUGAUCAAAGUGACCCACCGAUUCCCCAUCAAGAACGAACUAUAGGUCGCAAUUGAAUCAUCCAUCGUUACUAAACGUCGAUCCUCCCAAAUGCACAAAUUCAUUACUACACACACAUACUGCACAAUUGCCACCAUUCUUCCAUCAUCACGUUGCAGUUAGUCAGAACAGUCUAAAGAGAAGGAAGGUUUUUUUUACCCCAUCGGUAAAUCUCCGAGUGCAACGUAGUGGAUACGCGCCCGAGUUUCGCCCUCCGUGGGAACAAAGGGGAGGGGGGACGCGGGACGACCCCGACGCACUUGCCUUCUUCCUUCGAUUCUUCACCGUGGAGCAUGUGGCGGAGGCCGACGCCCGGAGUUAACGCAUUAGUGGCAGCAUAGGGUUUGUCACUUUUGCACCCCAUUGAUGACAGGGUGGAGAAAGUGCUGGCCUAGGCGGUGGCAGGUUGUCGUCGAGGCCGGCGGAGGAGCGGGAAUCGCCCAGGAGGAGGAGGAUUCCAUAACGUUGACAUCAUCUGUGGGGGUUGUGGGCGUCCGGAGACGGUGCCACAACGAGGGAGGAGUGUUGCGGCGAGAAGAGGAGCGGGGGGCGAAAUGUCACUCGCGCCAAACCGUUUUCCAAAUGGAGUGUGCUCCACAGAUCUCACCACAGCCUUCAAAUAUGGAGGGUCACGACUCGAUUUGAAGCGAUCCCCAACAUUUAUGCCACUGAAGCGAAGGAGGCGAUUCUGCUAGACCCGCUUUUUUCAACCAAAAUCGCCUGGCGUUCCUGCGUUCUGUCUCAUCUCCUCUCUUGUGUUUCUACCAUCUCUUGUUGAGAUAAGAGCCCGUCCCCUGUGGCUAAGCAUCUCCAUCGCGGACACUUGCGAGUCCACUCCCGGAAUUUCUUUGGCAGCGUACACUGUACAGCGCCUAGAGCUUUGAUGUUUUAGCAUGGAAUAAAAAUCGAGAGAUAUCUGUUGCCAAUGGAUUGGACGGUGAAAGGGAUGGGCUAGCUACCAUCAUCACCGGCCACCUGUUUCUUCUCUGUUGCUUUACUUGCACGGCUGCAACACCAACUCCUUCAGCUUUCACUUUCGGCCUAUAUGACGCUCUUCUACUCCAAGCAACAGGUCGGUCAAGAUUCGUGCCCGUUAAAAGCAGACAGGAAGGAAGAAGGCUCCGCCUCAUCAAGUGAGGGGGUGCCUCUGAGUUGGAUGCCAUGGUGCCGUGGAGGCUGGAGGCCCGCCUGGCGGAGACGGUGAGGGCGGCGCUCCUCGGCUGGCUCUUCUUCUGCAUCACCGUCGCCAGCGAUGUCGCACAUGCGCUCAGAAGCAGCGAUCUCUCCAUCUAAGACCGGCCACGUUCGACAUGGCCAAGACCGACUCUGUGCCUACAAAGUGGCAGUUCAUUGGGCGCACAGGAAGAAAAUUUAUUUACAGCAGUGUAACCAGUCAGUGAGUUCAUCCAUGAGAGAAUGAGUUCGAUGUAAAGGUGAAAUAUUCAUAUAGAUUACAUGUAAAAUCUUGUGUCAAACAGAGAAAUACUGGCUAUUUGCUCAAA